GACGAACGCUGGCGGCGUGCUUAACACAUGCAAGUCGAACGGAAAGGCCCUGCUUGCAGGGUACUCGAGUGGCGAACGGGUGAGUAACACGUGGGUGAUCUGCCCUGCACUUCGGGAUAAGCCUGGGAAACUGGGUCUAAUACCGGAUAGGAGCCAUUUUUAGUGUGAUGGUUGGAAAGUUUUUUCGGUGUUGGAUGAGCUCGCGGCCUAUCAGCUUGUUGGUGGGGUAAUGGCCUACCAAGGCGGCGACGGGUAGCCGGCCUGAGAGGGUGGACGGCCACAUUGGGACUGAGAUACGGCCCAGACUCCUACGGGAGGCAGCAGUGGGGAAUAUUGCACAAUGGGCGCAAGCCUGAUGCAGCGACGCCGCGUGGGGGAUGACGGCCUUCGGGUUGUAAACUCCUUUCGCUAGGGACGAAGCUUUUUGUGACGGUACCUAGAUAAGAAGCACCGGCUAACUACGUG
RNAcentral lists this ribosomal RNA (465 nucleotides) under uncultured bacterium. Its description in RNAcentral is "partial 16S ribosomal RNA". It matches the Rfam family "Bacterial small subunit ribosomal RNA", at positions 28 to 507 of the family's 1533-position model. The record is from RNAcentral.